UACCAGCGCCCCGAGUGGUCGGGACGUUUAUUGGGCCUAAAGCAUCCGUAGCCGGUUCUACAAGUCUUCCGUUAAAUCCACCUGCUUAACAGAUGGGCUGCGGAAGAUACUAUAGAGCUAGGAGGCGGGAGAGGCAAGCGGUACUCGAUGGGUAGGGGUAAAAUCCGUUGAUCCAUUGAAGACCACCAGUGGCGAAGGCGGCUUGCCAGAACGCGCUCGACGGUGAGGGAUGAAAGCUGGGGGAGCAAACCGG
This 253-nucleotide ribosomal RNA is filed under the name uncultured bacterium. Its description in RNAcentral is "partial 16S ribosomal RNA". It matches the Rfam family "Archaeal small subunit ribosomal RNA", at positions 474 to 727 of the family's 1478-position model. The record is from RNAcentral.